UGAAUACGAGACGCUAAGGCGUCGAAGUAGUGUAUGUCAUACUUCCAAGAAAAGCUUGCACUGUCAUAAGUAAAAAAUGCCUGUACCAUAACCGACACAGGUGGGUAGGUAGAGUAUACUAAGGGGCGCGAGAUAACUCUCUCUAAGGAACUCGGCAAAAUAACUCCGUAACUUUGGGAGAAGGAGUACCUUAUUCUAUAAGGUUGCAAUAACAAGAUCCAAGCAACUGUUUAUCAAAAACACAGGUCUCCGCUAAGUCGUAAGACGAUGUAUGGGGGCUGACGCCUGCCCAGUGCCAGAAGGUUAAAGAAGUCGGUUAGCAUUAGCGAAGCUGGUAACUGAAGCCCUGGUGAACGGCGGCCGUAACUAUAACGGUCCUAAGGUAGCGAAAUUCCUUGUCGGGUAAGUUCCGACCCGCACGAAAGGCGUAAUGAUUUGGAUACUGUCUCGGAGAGGGGCUCGGUGAAAUAGACUUGUCUGUGAAGAUGCGGACUACCUGCACCAGGACAGAAAGACCCUAUGAAGCUUUACUGUAACUUGAAAUUGAAAUUGGACUUUAUUCGCGCAGUAUAGGUGGGAGGUGUUGAUUAUAAUCUUGCGGGAUUAUUGGAGCCAUCAGUGAGAUACCACUCUUGUAAUGUUAGAUUUCUAACUUUGAAUCAUUAUCUGGUCAAAGGACAGUUUCAGGCGGGCAGUUUGACUGGGGCGGUCGCCUCCCAAACGGUAACGGAGGCGUACAAAGGUUUCCUCUGAACGGGUAGAAAUCGUAUCUAGAGUGUAAAGGCAUAAGGAAGCUUGACUGUGAGACCUACAAGUCGAACAGGGACGAAAGUCGGUCUUAGUGAUCUGACGGUACUGAGUGGAAAGGCCGUCACUCAACGGAUAAAAGUUACUCUAAGGAUAACAGGCUGAUCUCCCCCAAGAGUUCACAUCGACGGGGAGGUUUGGCACCUCGAUGUCGGCUCAUCGCAUCCUGGGGCGGUAGUACGUCCCAAGGGUUUGGCUGUUCGCCCAUGAAAGCGGUACGCGAGCUGGGUUCAGAACGUCGUGAGACAGUUCGGUCCAUAUCCGGUGUAGGCGUUAGAAUAUUGAGAGGAGCCUUCUUUAGUACGAGAGGACCGAGAAGGACAUACCUCUGGUGUACCAGUUAUCGUGCCAACGGUAAACGCUGGGUAGCUAUGUAUGGAGUGGAUAACCGCUGAAAGCAUCUAAGUGGGAAGCCCACCUCAAGAUAAGUAUUCUCC
RNAcentral lists this ribosomal RNA (1244 nucleotides) under metagenome. RNAcentral's name for it is "bacterial LSU rRNA". It matches the Rfam family "Bacterial large subunit ribosomal RNA", at positions 1564 to 2816 of the family's 2925-position model. The record is from RNAcentral.